UGGGGAAUAUUGCACAAUGGGCGCAAGCCUGAUGCAGCGACGCCGCGUGCGGGAUGACGGCCUUCGGGUUGUAAACCGCUUUUGACUGGGAGCAAGCCCUUCGGGGUGAGUGUACCUUUCGAAUAAGCACCGGCUAACUACGUGCCAGCAGCCGCGGUAAUACGUAGGGUGCAAGCGUUAUCCGGAAUUAUUGGGCGUAAAGGGCUCGUAGGCGGUUCGUCGCGUCCGGUGUGAAAGUCCAUCGCUUAACGGUGGAUCCGCGCCGGGUACGGGCGGGCUUGAGUGCGGUAGGGGAGACUGGAAUUCCCGGUGUAACGGUGGAAUGUGUAGAUAUCGGGAAGAACACCAAUGGCGAAGGCAGGUCUCUGGGCCGUCACUGACGCUGAGGAGCGAAAGCGUGGGGAGCGAACAGGAUUAGAUACCCUGGUAGUCCACGCCGUAAACGGUGGAUGCUGGAUGUGGGGACCAUUCCACGGUCUCCGUGUCGGAGCCAACGCGUUAAGCAUCCCGCCUGGGGAGUACGGCCGCAAGGCUAAAACUCAAAGAAAUUGACGGGGGCCCGCACAAGCGGCGGAGCAUGCGGAUUAAUUCGAUGCAACGCGAAGAACCUUACCUGGGCUUGACAUGUUCCCGACAGCCGUAGAGAUACGGUCUCCCUUCGGGGCGGGUUCACAGGUGGUGCAUGGUCGUCGUCAGCUCGUGUCGUGAGAUGUUGGGUUAAGUCCCGCAACGAGCGCAACCCUCGCCCUGUGUUGCCAGCACGUCGUGGUGGGAACUCACGGGGGACCGCCGGGGUCAACUCGGAGGAAGGUGGGGAUGACGUCAGAUCAUCAUGCCCCUUACGUCCAGGGCUUCACGCAUGCUACAAUGGCCGGUACAACGGGAUGCGACCUCGUGAGGGGGAGCGGAUCCCUUAAAACCGGUCUCAGUUCGGAUUGGAGUCUGCAACCCGACUCCAUGAAGGCGGAGUCGCUAGUAAUCGCGGAUCAGCAACGCCGCGGUGAAUGCGUUCCC
RNAcentral lists this ribosomal RNA (1014 nucleotides) under uncultured bacterium. RNAcentral's name for it is "bacterial SSU rRNA". It matches the Rfam family "Bacterial small subunit ribosomal RNA", at positions 355 to 1375 of the family's 1533-position model. The record is from RNAcentral.